GGCAUGCAAGUCGAACGAGGACAGAGCGUUGGGGCUCUUAGUAGAGUGGCGAACGGGUGAGUAAUACAUGGGCAACCUGCGUGCGAGUUUGGGAUAACUCCCCGAAAGGGGGGCUAAUACCGGAUGGUAUUCCGAGGCCGCAUGGUUUCGGAAUUAAAGCGGGGGACCUUCGGGCCUCGCGCUCGCAGAGGGGCUCAUGCCCUAUUAGCUUGUUGGUGAGGUAACGGCUCACCAAGGCUACGAUGGGUAGCCGGCCUUGGAGGGUGACCGGUCACACUGGGACUGAGACACUGCCCAGACUCCUACGGGAGGCUGCAGUCGAGAAUCUUCUGCAAUGGUCGAAAGACUGACAGAGCGACGCCGCGUGGGGGAAGAAGGCUUUCGAGUUGUAAACCCCUGUCACGGGUUAAGAGGGGUGCAUCGGUUAAUAACUGGUGCUUCCGGACAAAGGCCCGAGAGGAAGUCACGGCUAACUCCGUGCCAGCAGCCGCGGUAAUUCGGAGGUGACUAGCGUUGUUCGGAUCCAUUGGGCGUAAAGCGCGCGCAGGCGGUGGCGUAAGUCGGAAGUGAAAGCCCCCGGCUCAACCGGGGAAUUGCUUCCGAUACUGCGUCACUUGAGUGUGGGAGGGGUGAGUGGAACUCCUGGUGGAGCGGUGAAAUGCGUAGAUAUCAGGAGGAACGCCGGAGGCGAAAGCGACUCACUGGCCCAUGUCUGACGCUGAGGCGCGAAAGCUAGGGUAGCGAAAGGGAUUAGAUACCCCUGUAGUCCUAGCCGUAAACGAUGGGCACUAAGUAGAGGGGUUUU
Molecule: ribosomal RNA, 805 nt
Filed under: uncultured Planctomycetota bacterium
Lineage: Bacteria; Pseudomonadati; Planctomycetota
Description: bacterial SSU rRNA
Rfam family: Bacterial small subunit ribosomal RNA
Source: RNAcentral